Molecule: long non-coding RNA, 231 nt
Organism: Mus musculus (house mouse)
Lineage: Eukaryota; Metazoa; Chordata; Mammalia; Rodentia; Muridae
Product: predicted gene, 40840
Exons: 3
Source: RefSeq, a predicted model, not a curated record
UGUCUUCUAGAUGAGAGAAAAUAUCUUCAGAGGAAAGACAAAAUGAAGAUAAUCCAGGAAAAUCUCACUAUUUCAAGGUCACUUGAUUAUUAGCCUUCCCAUCUGCGACAUGAAUUUUUCCUCUACUGUGCAUAAUGGAGUACACAUCCCUAACUUCUAUGGGUGAAGAUAUGGAAAAUUCCAGGCAUAGAACACAGAAGGAGGAGGCUGUGCAGUAGAACAUUUAAGGAG